This 253-nucleotide ribosomal RNA is filed under the name uncultured bacterium. RNAcentral's name for it is "partial 16S ribosomal RNA". It matches the Rfam family "Bacterial small subunit ribosomal RNA", at positions 524 to 776 of the family's 1533-position model. The record is from RNAcentral.
UACGAGUGCCCCAAGCGUUAUCCGGAAUCAUUGGGCGUAAAGGGUGUGUAGGUGGUUGUGUUAGUCUUCUGUUAAAUUCUUCGGCUUAACCGGGGGCAUGCGGAGGAAACGGCACAACUAGAGGAUGCGAGAGGUGAAUGGAACUCAUGGAGUAGGGGUGAAAUCCGUUGAUAUCAUGGGGAACACCAAAUGCGAAGGCAAUUCACUGGCGCACUCCUGACACUGAAACACGAAAGCGUAGGUAGCGAAUGGG